Caenorhabditis elegans is the source of this 21-nucleotide non-coding RNA. The record is from Ensembl. Lineage: Eukaryota; Metazoa; Nematoda; Chromadorea; Rhabditida; Rhabditidae.
UAAGAUGAAGACAUCGUUUGA